Molecule: small nucleolar RNA, 82 nt
Gene: SNORD24
Rfam family: Small nucleolar RNA SNORD24
About the family: U24 is a member of the C/D class of snoRNA which contain the C (UGAUGA) and D (CUGA) box motifs. C/D box snoRNAs have been shown to act as methylation guides for a number of RNA targets. U24 is encoded within an intron of the gene for ribosomal protein L7a in mammals, chicken and Fugu.
Source: Ensembl
UGCCAUAAUGAUGACAUUUUAUUUGCUACUCUUGACAGUGAGGAUGACGAGAAUCCUUACCACCAUUAUUCUAACUGAGGCA